RNAcentral lists this ribosomal RNA (1051 nucleotides) under Pseudomonas lundensis. RNAcentral's name for it is "bacterial LSU rRNA". It matches the Rfam family "Bacterial large subunit ribosomal RNA", at positions 1880 to 2925 of the family's 2925-position model. The record is from RNAcentral. Lineage: Bacteria; Pseudomonadati; Pseudomonadota; Gammaproteobacteria; Pseudomonadales; Pseudomonadaceae.
AUUGAUGGGGUUAGCUAACGCGAAGCUCUUGAUCGAAGCCCCGGUAAACGGCGGCCGUAACUAUAACGGUCCUAAGGUAGCGAAAUUCCUUGUCGGGUAAGUUCCGACCUGCACGAAUGGCGUAACGAUGGCGGCGCUGUCUCCACCCGAGACUCAGUGAAAUUGAAAUCGCUGUGAAGAUGCAGUGUAUCCGCGGCUAGACGGAAAGACCCCGUGAACCUUUACUAUAGCUUUGCACUGGACUUUGAAUUUGCUUGUGUAGGAUAGGUGGGAGGCUUUGAAGCGUGGACGCCAGUUCGCGUGGAGCCAUCCUUGAAAUACCACCCUGGCAACUUUGAGGUUCUAACUCAGGUCCGUUAUCCGGAUCGAGGACAGUGUAUGGUGGGUAGUUUGACUGGGGCGGUCUCCUCCUAAAGAGUAACGGAGGAGUACGAAGGUGCGCUCAGACCGGUCGGAAAUCGGUCGUAGAGUAUAAAGGCAAAAGCGCGCUUGACUGCGAGACAGACACGUCGAGCAGGUACGAAAGUAGGUCUUAGUGAUCCGGUGGUUCUGUAUGGAAGGGCCAUCGCUCAACGGAUAAAAGGUACUCCGGGGAUAACAGGCUGAUACCGCCCAAGAGUUCAUAUCGACGGCGGUGUUUGGCACCUCGAUGUCGGCUCAUCACAUCCUGGGGCUGAAGCCGGUCCCAAGGGUAUGGCUGUUCGCCAUUUAAAGUGGUACGCGAGCUGGGUUUAGAACGUCGUGAGACAGUUCGGUCCCUAUCUGCCGUGGACGUUUGAGAUUUGAGAGGGGCUGCUCCUAGUACGAGAGGACCGGAGUGGACGAACCUCUGGUGUUCCGGUUGUCACGCCAGUGGCAUUGCCGGGUAGCUAUGUUCGGGAAAGAUAACCGCUGAAAGCAUCUAAGCGGGAAACUUGCCUCAAGAUGAGAUCUCACUGGAACCUUGAGUUCCCUAAAGGGCCGUCGAAGACUACGACGUUGAUAGGUUGGGUGUGUAAGCGCUGUGAGGCGUUGAGCUAACCAAUACUAAUUGCCCGUGAGGCUUGACCAU